This 216-nucleotide long non-coding RNA is filed under the name Elaeis guineensis (African oil palm). RNAcentral's name for it is "long non-coding RNA (EGUI_LNC017288)". The record is from RNAcentral. Lineage: Eukaryota; Viridiplantae; Streptophyta; Magnoliopsida; Arecales; Arecaceae.
GGGUCUCCAAUGGUGAUGGCAACCCCACCCCCCACCUCGAUGGUUGCAUCGACUCCUAGCAGCCUGAGCAUAGCAAGUUCGACGAUGGCGAUCGGCUUGAUGGGAGAAAAAGAGAAGAAGAAAGAGGGGACUUUCCCUUUUUCACUCUCUUCCUCUCUAUCAUGACCACAAGGCUGGCAACUGGUCGUCCAUGGCAGCAUUGUCUCCCCUUAAAGU